RNAcentral lists this long non-coding RNA (1951 nucleotides) under Cyanistes caeruleus (blue tit). Its description in RNAcentral is "lncRNA (ENSCCEG00000014096.1)". The record is from RNAcentral. Lineage: Eukaryota; Metazoa; Chordata; Aves; Passeriformes; Paridae.
UAGCUACCACGGCUGGCCAAUAGGCUGUAAAUCUUGCCUGGUGUUUUGUAAGAAAGGAAAAAAUAGAAUGAUUUGUGUUGACUUUUGGUCAUCGUGUAUCAUUAUCGAUCCGGGGGAGGGCGGCGAGAAGCGCGUACCGCGGAUCUGUUGCUCGCCACUUCUCCGGGAAGGCGGCGUGAGCCAGCAGUCAGUAGAGGGCAAUAGAGAAAUACAGUUUGUGAUGCCUAAAGGAUUUGAAGCCCUGAUUAUGUGUUUACAGAAAAGAAAAAGAAGAAAAGAAGAGCCAGGAGGAUAGGUUGUUCAGUUUACUACCGGAGACCUGACUGUGACAGACCACCAAGAAAACAAAAUUUAUCAAGAGAGUAAAGAAGACCUUCUGCAGCAUCUGCAAGUCUCUCCUUUUUUCUUCAGAGUUACGUAGGAUAACUUAGCCAGAACUUAUUGAUGUCUGCAUGUUCAGUGGACUCGGGAAUGACUGGGAGAUGCAGAAACAUACUCUUUGGAAGAAACAGAAGAGGAGGCAUUUCAAAGAUCCUGCAGGUGACAAAGGUCCUUGUAAAACAUACAGGUAUGGCUGCUCUGCUCUGGUUUUGCUUCAGAGGAAGAACAAACCUUGAGGAAAAUGGAAAAGGAGCACUGCAUGUUUCUGCUGCCUCUCCUGACUCCAGGGCCAAUGAAGGUGAUGAUCUGCUGACAGAAUAAAUAAAUUGUAGAAAGUGCCAAGACUGUUCAGGCAUUUGCUGUAGUAUCACUCCCACAGGAGGAACCUUCAUCACAGUCUUUCUUCAAGUAUGUUCUCUCCUCUGGUAAGUUUUUCAGACAUAUAAUCUUUUCCUGUGUCAAGAGUUUUCAGCAGAGAGAGUGAGAUGAGUUCUGAAAAGUCCAGCCCUGGUCCUAGAUUUUGUCAUCAGAACUGCGGGCUAUAGUCAGUAAACCUAGUUGUGCUCAUGUAAAACACAUGCAAGAUUUGGUCACCCUGUGGAAUAUAGUAAAUACCACAGGACUAAAUUACAGGUGUCACUAACUUUAGUUUGUGUUUCCUUUGUCCCCAUGAAGUGGACCUCAUUUGCACAGUGUGUAAAAUUUUUUACUUGUCUGUUUACCUGACAUUAAAUUUUUAAUACUGGCACCUGUAUUUGCAACUUAUGACUUUCCAAAUUAUGUCAGUUCCUCUAAAUAAUUAAAAAAGACCCUCUUGUCCAAUAUUAAAAAACAAAGAAACAAAAAUCCAUUAAUAAUUCUGACAACUAACCUUUGGAAUGGAGAUCUAAUUAGUUCUUAUUGAGCUUGGUCCAAAGAUCAUUGAAGCAAUUUGGAGUCUUUCCAUUAAAGUUAAUUGACUUUAGAGCAAAAUCCUCAGACACGCUAGUUUAGCAACAUAGGAUAGCAAGCAGUCUGUCUGUCACCCAUCAGCAACAUCACCUCCAGACAGAGAGGCUGUUUUAGCUGUUCUAUUUGACAUUGUUUCUGGUAAAGAUGUUGCCUAAAUUGAUUAUGUCCCUGUGGGCAAAUAGAGGACCUAGAAAAAACUUCAUGCCCUGGGUACCUGUUUAUGUGGCAGUCACCAAAGCCUGCAGGUUUCACACAUUCCAGUGUCAAUGUGGAGCUUUCGUCAGAAGUGUCAACAUUAACAAGAUUUUAAACUGCAGGCGAAUAUAGAGGAUCAUUUGAUCCUGGCAAGGAAAUGUUUGCCUCAGCACUUGUGGGAUAAUGUAGAGUAAGCAGCAAAUCAUUGAUGAAUCUGUAAUGCAACACCAGUCCCAGGAGUGCUCAGGCAAAAUUGCUGCAAAGAAGAAGGAAAGACAGCAAAAGUGAUUAAAUGCAGUGAAAGAUUCAGACCUUGGGAGACCUUUAGGGAGACACUUCUUAUUUUAAGCAUAAAGGAAAAAACAGUACAGAAUUAUGUGCAUAAGCCUUUCAUUUUGGUUUAAUAAAAACCGUGAGGAACCCA